Molecule: non-coding RNA, 3465 nt
Organism: Paramisgurnus dabryanus
Lineage: Eukaryota; Metazoa; Chordata; Actinopteri; Cypriniformes; Cobitidae
Source: RefSeq, a predicted model, not a curated record
UGUGGGCAGGAUAAUUAAGUGUAUUAGGGAUGCUUUGCCCCAUGCAUUAAUGUCAUGUAUAAACUCAGCCCUGGUAGAUGAUUUUACACCUCAGAACUUGCCUGAGCUGAAGGUGACCCCUAAAGAUGGAGGAGAUGUAAUAUAAACCAGACUGCAUUGUUGAAAGGGAUUUGGUUGUUCAUAAUGUGGCAAAGAAAAACGUUUAUAUGUGUGUUAAAUCUGUGCAUGUUGGACAUUUGCAAGGAAACAGAUACUAAAUGAAGGGAUAAAAUCUCUAUUUGCGAAGAAGUGCAUCCAUCAUGGAGAGUACUGUGUAAAGCUCUUAUCUCCAAGCGAUGUGGAGAUCUUCAGUGUAGAGUUGUGCUACAGCCUCAAAUAGAUAGGCUAUCAAAGUUUAAUAAGAUUGUUCUGUCCUGUAAUGCUCAUGAUGUUUUUCAUAUGUUUUUUGAAUGUCCAAGACUUUCCUUUAUUUGUAAUACUUGAAAGUUGAUCACAAAAUUGGGGUUUUCAUAUAACAAUACCUUAGUUUAUAUUAGGAUAUAAAUAUAGAAGUUCAUGGCAACAACACCAAUGAUUCUUGUCAUUUUUUAUGACAAAAGUGUGACCUAUGUUUACAUGUGACUGCUACUCUGAACACUUCCAAGAUCACAUUUAUGUUCAUGCAAACUCGUUUUGUGUGUUUGUUUUUGCAAAUACAGCUGCUCCAUUAUGUCGAGCAGAGACGAGUGCUCGGAGGUCAGCAAUUUUACGCGUGUUUGACUUCAUGUGGCGCUGCAAGAACCGAUCAGACGGAUGAUGUCAAGGUACCGCCAGAGCGAUUUGAAAUUAGACUAGUGAUUCCUCAACUCGCUCUCGCGGUACUUUGACGUCAUCGAUCACAUACGGCAACAACUCCUCCCUCCAACAUGAACCAGUUUGCGUCACCACCAGCGCUGCCGGUGAUUGGCUUACGUGGGCUUGAGCUUUUCUUGACGGCAUAUAUGCACGGGUACGUGUAAAUAAACACUUUUCUGAAAACUGACAUGUGUGCACGAUAUUAUUUUGGAAACCGGAGAGGUUGAAAUGUCCGUUUAUGAAAAUAGCCGCCCACGUGUAAACAUAACCUUAGUGACGUGAUACUGCAUGUCUGUGUGGAUGAACGGCAAAAAAAAGGUCACGGUUAUAAAAAUACCCGUGUCCGUGUGGACAAGGCCUAAGUUUGCCAUUUUGAAAUCCCACCAAAAGGCAGGAAAAUAAGGCCUAGUCCACACGGACAUGGGUAUUUCUAUAACCUGAGUUUUUCCUCCAAACAAAUCCUGUCCACACAUGCUCAGUUUAAAAGAAAUCUCUGUCCACAUGAAAAAGCAAAAACACGCUAUCAAGCACUGUCAAGAGCAUGCCACACCAGCAGGCGACAAUAUAACCUCUGACGUCAAAUACAGCAGAUAACGGCGCACACUCUGACGUCGCACGACAACACUGCAACCAGCGUUUUCUUAAAAUCCUCACCUUGGCAGGGAUUUUCAAAAAUGUUUGGUUUCAGUGCACUGAUACUGCGUUUUUGCGUGGACAAACGGCCGAACCACAUAAAAAAAUAACACGGUUAUAAAAAUACUCCGGUCCGUGUGGACUAGGUCUAAGUCUUUAAUAGAAUCUGUGUCCAUUUAGUUUACAUAUUACAAAUACACAGAUAGUGAUGCUUUGUUUUGAAUGGAGAUGGGGUGUGAGACUGACUGUGAGUGUGUACAAAAGCUUAGUUUUUAAUAAUGGUUGUUGUGGAUCCUGUAUAAAAUUUGUCUUAAGCCCUGUUUUCUCUCUCUCUCUCUCUCUCUCUCUCUCUCUUUCUCUCUCCCUAUACUGUAGUUUGCAAUGAAUUGUGGGAGCAUGCUAAAUGCAAAUUUUACAGUUAUGUCUGCAAUACUGUAUUUUUGAAAUAGGCUAAUAUGUAAAUGCUACAGGACAACAUGUAAUGACACUUAUUAUUUUAUUUUAUGUAUUUAUUUAAAAAGUCAGCUGUGGCACUAGUUUGGAAAUAAAAGCUUUGGCACUUUACAAUAACUGCAAUAAAUGCAGCCUAUUAAAUGAAUUAUAAACAUUCAUGUAGAUUCUGAUAAUGUACAUAUCUUUGUCAAAAAUGUUUGAUAAGAAACACAUUUAGACAACAUGUGUGCGUAGCGCAGUACGUGUGAUGUCACGACGUCAUCAGCAAAUUUGCGCCCGGUGCACAUGCGCAUUGCGAGUUUGCGCAGACAGGUGUCUACGGUCGGAGUGGAAUGAAGAAGUUGCAUCUGAUAAUUCUUCCAUUGUGUAGCAGCAACUGCAGCUGACAUGGAAUGUGGAUUAUCGGAUUCACCUCUCACUGAUCAUCCAAGGUGAAUUGAUGACCUCAAGCAAAUGGAUGUUGUCAUCUGAAGAGAAAGUUAUCCUGGGCCCAUGUUUAGAGGCAUUUGGGGCAUAUCUGACACAUAUCACAAUCAAGCUGCAUGCACACUUGAGUUUAUUCAGAGAGAAGUUGUGGGCAUCAGUCCGGAAACUGGAUAAAAAAUUUGCUGCUGGAAUGUGAGACAAAUAAAGGCAUGGAAUGAACCCAAAUGUAUGAACACUGCUACGAAAACUAAUGGACUUUGAAUGGCUUGCCAGUUAAUUCCAAUGGAAUUGAAGAAGAGACUCUGACAAGAUUUUCAAGUUUGUGUUUAAUUUAAAAGUUUAUCUUCAUAGAUAAGCAAUUUAAAGGUAGGCACAGUUAAAACUAUUUCUUGUGUGUUUGUUUAAACUGUAAAUUUAUGACUGAAGUUUGGUCACUAUGUAGUAAUGUGUUCCUUUGUGGUUAAUUAAAUGCUGCAGUGCUUAGUGGUAUUCGUUGUUGUAUUUCCAAGGCUAAAGCCUUAUUUUGUGAUCUGCAUUGUAUUGGAGAGUUUUGGAAACUAAUACUUAUUAUCUUAAUGCAUUGGAAAGUUUUGGACUAUUGAACAAUAAAUGCAUUUGGCUACAUCUGUGAUUUUCUGUUAUUUUAAGUGUUUUAGUUUACAUUACAUUAAAUGAUUUAUCACAGCAGUUAAAAAAAAUUACAGUAAUUUUUUUUACAGUGUAGGCUACCAUGACACAAGUUGCAGCUCCAAAAACAUUUCUUAGUCAAGUUGUAUAGCUACAAGCAGCACAAAACCAAAGAAGUGGAUUUGAUGAAGUCAUGUUGUAGUAUUGCUGAACAAUGUUCACCAGUUAGAGAUUGAGGUGGAAUGUGAGUUAACAGUGGACGUGGUCUUACUUUGCAGCAAGAGCAAAACCCUAAAAGUUUCAAUGCUGAAGAGGGAUACAUUUUAAACACUAUAAAUUUACUGAUUUAUGUAAUUUUACUUACAUUUCUACAGAAAAAUAAUCAAUAAAACAUUUACAGAAAUUUUCUGUAAAAAUAAUUUUUUAAUCUGUAAAAAUGAACGGCAAAUUUCUGUGGAAAUUAACGGCAAAUGUCUGAAAAUUAACGGCAAA